UACGAAGGGGGCAAACGUUGUUCGGAUUUACUGGGCGUAAAGCGCAUGUAGGCGGGUCGUUAAGCCGGGGGUGAAAGCCCAGAGCUCAACUCUGGAACUGCCUUCGAUACUGGCGACCUGGAGCAGGUCAGAGGCGAGUGGAAUUGCGAGUGUAGAGGUGAAAUUCGUAGAUAUUCGCAGGAACACCAGUGGCGAAGGCGACUCGCUGGGACUUUGCUGACGCUGAGAUGCGAAAGCGUGGGGAGCAAACAGG
This 253-nucleotide ribosomal RNA is filed under the name uncultured bacterium. RNAcentral describes it as "partial 16S ribosomal RNA". It matches the Rfam family "Bacterial small subunit ribosomal RNA", at positions 524 to 776 of the family's 1533-position model. The record is from RNAcentral.